GCCGGAGCGCCCGCCAUGGGCAGUGCUCCCUGCUAGGUGCUGUGGUCUACCCAUGGCAGAUGGAUGACUGCACACACUGUCGGCUCUAUUCCUGGGCCUUGGCCCAAGCGUCUCGGAGGCUGAAGACAACCCCAGGUUCUCUUUCUUCUACACACCCCAGCCACCGAAGACCUAAAACCACAAGUGACGUCUCUGACCCUCAUCUCCCCCACGCAGAGGUCACCAAGACCUGUUGAUUCCUUCUCCUUCGUGUCUCUCAGAUUGACUUCUUCAGUCUCUCCCCACUGCCCUGACCCUGGUUCAGCCUUCCACCCAACACCCUUCUCACCACCUGUGUCUCAACUCCACUUGCCCUCCAAUUCCUCCGUUCCAGUUUGGCCCAACUAUAUAAAAGGUAAAAAGGAUCCUGUGACUUUCACUGUUGAAAGCCCUUCAGCGGCAACCUGGUGCCUCACAGCAAAGAGGUCGGGUCUCUCUGUGACUUGGGCAGCUGGUGGCUGCCUCUCUAACCU
RNAcentral lists this long non-coding RNA (512 nucleotides) under Dasypus novemcinctus (nine-banded armadillo). RNAcentral's name for it is "lncRNA (ENSDNOG00000052886.1)". The record is from RNAcentral. Lineage: Eukaryota; Metazoa; Chordata; Mammalia; Cingulata; Dasypodidae.